UACGGAGGGUGCAAGCGUUGCUCGGAAUUAUUGGGCGUAAAGCGUAUGUAGGCGGUUUUCUAAGUCUGAUGUGAAAUCCCGGGGCUUAACCUCGGAACUGCAUUGGAUACUGGAAAGCUAGAGGACGAUAGAGGAUGGUGGAAUUCCAGGUGUAGGGGUGAAAUCCGUAGAUAUCUGGAGGAACAUCAGUGGCGAAGGCGGCCAUCUGGAUCGUACCUGACGCUGAGAUACGAAAGCGUGGGGAGCAAACAGG
This 253-nucleotide ribosomal RNA is filed under the name uncultured bacterium. Its description in RNAcentral is "partial 16S ribosomal RNA". It matches the Rfam family "Bacterial small subunit ribosomal RNA", at positions 524 to 776 of the family's 1533-position model. The record is from RNAcentral.